Amblyraja radiata (thorny skate) is the source of this 162-nucleotide long non-coding RNA. RefSeq lists it as uncharacterized. The record is from RefSeq and is a predicted model, not a curated record. The transcript is spliced from 3 exons. NCBI's taxonomy places the organism in Eukaryota, Metazoa, Chordata, Chondrichthyes, Rajiformes, Rajidae.
AAAGAUGGGAUAGCAGCACAUUUGGAAACCAGAAACAGGAUUGGUCUGAGUAAGCAUAGAUUUACGAAGGGGAAAUCAUGCUUGGCUAAAUUUCUGGAAUUUUUUGAGGAUAUAACCAGGAAAAUGGACAAGGGAGAGCCAGUGAAUGUAGUGUACCUGGAC